GGCGCACGGUGGAUGCCUUGACACUAGGAGUCGAUGAAGGACGGGACUAACACCGAUAUGCUUCGGGGAGCUGUAAGUAAGCUUUGAUCCGAAGAUUUCCGAAUGGGGAAACCCACCAUACGUAAUGGUAUGGUAUCCUUAUCUGAAUACAUAGGGUAAGGAAGACAGACCCAGGGAACUGAAACAUCUAAGUACCUGGAGGAAGAGAAAGCAAAUGCGAUUUCCUGAGUAGCGGCGAGCGAAACGGAACAGAGCCCAAACCAAGAGGCUUGCCUCUUGGGGUUGUAGGACACUCUAUACGGAGUUACAAAGGAACGAGGUAGACGAAGCGACCUGGAAAGGUCCGUCGUAGAGGGUAACAACCCCGUAGUCGAAACUUCGUUCUCUCCUGAGUGGAUCCUGAGUACGGCGGAACACGUGAAAUUCCGUCGGAAUCCGGGAGGACCAUCUCCCAAGGCUAAAUACUCCCUAGUGACCGAUAGUGAACCAGUACCGUGAGGGAAAGGUGAAAAGCACCCCGGAAGGGGAGUGAAAGAGAUCCUGAAACCGUGUGCCUACAAAUAGUCAGAGCCCGUUAACGGGUGAUGGCGUGCCUUUUGUAGAAUGAACCGGCGAGUUACGAUCCCGUGCGAGGUUAAGCUGAAGAAGGCGGAGCCGCAGCGAAAGCGAGUCUGAAUAGGGCGUUUAGUACGUGGUCGUAGACCCGAAACCAGGUGAUCUACCCAUGUCCAGGGUGAAGUUCAGGUAACACUGAAUGGAGGCCCGAACCCACGCACGUUGAAAAGUGCGGGGAUGAGGUGUGGGUAGCGGAGAAAUUCCAAUCGAACCUGGAGAUAGCUGGUUCUCCCCGAAAUAGCUUUAGGGCUAGCCUCGUGAUGAGAAUACUGGAGGUAGAGCACUGUUUGGACUAGGGGGCCAUCCCGGUUUACCGAAUUCAGACAAACUCCGAAUGCCAGAUAUUUAUACACGGGAGUCAGACUGCGAGUGAUAAGAUCCGUAGUCAAAAGGGAAACAGCCCAGACCACCAGCUAAGGUCCCAAAGUAAUCGUUAAGUGGAAAAGGAUGUGGCGUUGCACAGACAACCAGGAUGUUGGCUUAGAAGCAGCCAUCAUUUAAAGAGUGCGUAAUAGCUCACUGGUCGAGUGACGCUGCGCCGAAAAUGUAUCGGGGCUAAACGAUUCACCGAAGCUGUGGAUUGACAUCUACGAUGUCAGUGGUAGGAGAGCGUUCUAAGUGCGUUGAAGUCAGACCGGAAGGACUGGUGGAGCGCUUAGAAGUGAGAAUGCCGGUAUGAGUAGCGAAAGACGGGUGAGAAUCCCGUCCACCGUAUGACUAAGGUUUCCUGAGGAAGGCUCGUCCGCUCAGGGUUAGUCGGGACCUAAGCCGAGGCCGAUAGGCGUAGGCGAUGGACAACAGGUUGAUAUUCCUGUACCACCUCCUCACCGUUUGAGAAAUGGGGGGACGCAGUAGGAUAGGGUAAGCGCGCCGUUGGUUGUGCGCGUCCAAGCAGUAAGGCGUGUGUGUAGGCAAAUCCGCACACUGUAACGUUGAGCUGUGAUGGCGAGUCCGUAUGGACGAAGUUCCUGAUUUCACACUGCCAAGAAAAGCCUCUAUCGAGGUGAGAGGUGCCCGUACCGCAAACCGACACAGGUAGUCGAGGAGAGAAUCCUAAGGUGUGCGAGAGAACUCUCGUUAAGGAACUCGGCAAAAUGACCCCGUAACUUCGGGAGAAGGGGUGCUCUUGAGCGUGCAAGCGCAUGAGAGCCGCAGUGAAUAGGCCCAGGCGACUGUUUAGCAAAAACACAGGUCUCUGCAAAUAGGACAA
This 1825-nucleotide ribosomal RNA is filed under the name Streptococcus salivarius. RNAcentral's name for it is "partial 23S ribosomal RNA". It matches the Rfam family "Bacterial large subunit ribosomal RNA", at positions 16 to 1836 of the family's 2925-position model. The record is from RNAcentral. Lineage: Bacteria; Bacillati; Bacillota; Bacilli; Lactobacillales; Streptococcaceae.